RNAcentral lists this ribosomal RNA (253 nucleotides) under uncultured bacterium. Its description in RNAcentral is "partial 16S ribosomal RNA". It matches the Rfam family "Bacterial small subunit ribosomal RNA", at positions 524 to 776 of the family's 1533-position model. The record is from RNAcentral.
UACGGGGGGGGCAAGCGUUGUUCGGAAUUACUGGGCGUAAAGGGCUCGUAGGUGGCCAACUAAGUCAGACGUGAAAUCCCUCGGCUUAACCGGGGAACUGCAUCUGAUACUGGAUGGCUUGAGUUUGGGAGAGGGACGCGGAAUUCCAGGUGUAGCGGUGAAAUGCGUAGAUAUCUGGAGGAACACCGGUGGCGAAGGCGGCAUCCUGGACCAACACUGACGCUGAGGAGCGAAAGCCAGGGGAGCAAACGGG